UGGAGCUGACGUAUCGGGCUUGUAUUCAACCGUUUAGUGUUGGGAUCGGUGGUUUUGGUAUUCCGCAAGGUUGCCUGACUGCCGUUGUCCUAGCAUGAAGCGGUGCAUUUGCAAGCGGAGUGCGCCGAGUGGGUUGAUUCUGCUGCUUGAAGCUUUCGAAGAGGACUCGACCGCAAGGUUGAGAAGCCUGCGAUUGUGGAUGGCGGAUGGGGUCGGCUCGUGUGUGAUGCCUAGCAUCCGACUCGGUGUUCAGUCAGUCACCCAUUUGACCCGUCUUGAAACACGGACCAAGGAGUUUAAGGUGUACGCAAGUCAUUGGGCUUCAAAACCUAAAGGCGUAAUGAAAGUGAGCUGCUUAGCGGCUGUAAUGUGACCCGCGGUUAAUUCGUUGACUACGGUGCAACAUUGCCCCGUGCCUAGAACUUGUUCUGGCGCGGAGGUUGAGCGUACGCUUUGAGACCCGAAAGAUGGUGAACUAUGCCUGAACAGGAUGAAGUCAGAGGAAACUCUGAUGGAAGUCCGAAGCGGUUCUGACGUGCAAAUCGAUCGUCUGAUUUGGGUAUAGGGGCGCAAGACUAAUCGAACCAUCUAGUAGCUGU
RNAcentral lists this ribosomal RNA (599 nucleotides) under Laimaphelenchus sp. s YX-2022. RNAcentral's name for it is "partial large subunit ribosomal RNA". It matches the Rfam family "Eukaryotic large subunit ribosomal RNA", at positions 424 to 954 of the family's 3401-position model. The record is from RNAcentral. Lineage: Eukaryota; Metazoa; Nematoda; Chromadorea; Rhabditida; Aphelenchoididae.